Oncorhynchus kisutch (coho salmon) is the source of this 3597-nucleotide long non-coding RNA. RefSeq lists it as uncharacterized. The record is from RefSeq and is a predicted model, not a curated record. The transcript has 6 exons. NCBI's taxonomy places the organism in Eukaryota, Metazoa, Chordata, Actinopteri, Salmoniformes, Salmonidae.
AGCCUAGCUCUGUAUACUGGGGCAUGGCUUACGGAGCGCGGUCUGAAAUAAGCGCUCAUAUUGUCAUAUUCCAACGGAUCGAGUUAUCUCAUCACACCGGCUCAGCUCGAAGAAAAUGUGCAGCUAUUUGUAAUUGAUGUUAUUCCUCUGUAGGGUUUAUUGAGGAUGUCUGUUUCUGGCUCAUGAACCCCGAGUUCUCUAGCAUGUUAGCCUCCAUGGAGUAGCUAGCUAACGUUAGCCAUCUUAAUUAACAUGAAGAUGUCAACAAGUGCUGUCAGGACGCAUACCAUCUCUGUUGCUGAGUGCAGCCCGUUGCUGGUUGCUCAAGGGCAGAUGGACAACGACGAAUAGAUUGAUCCGUAUAGAACUACGAUCCAAUCAUAAAGUCCAUGAGAAAGCCUGCCGAGUGUAUGAAACAAAAUCAUGAAGUGUGAAAAUACACCAAGCAUGACGAAUACUGCCUUUUAUCGUGAUAUUAAUCUAAUCGGAAAACUAAAUGAAAGUCAUCUUCACCGGCAAGUAAUUACCCUAAUGUGCCCACCAAGAGAUGGGAAUACAUGCAGGGCUCAGAUCAAGUGGACGUAACGGAGUGCAACAACAAAGUGGAAGGGUUACAAAGAGAGGAGCAUAAGAAGAAUAUUACACUGGUUGCACAGCAGCCAUCAUGCAACCCAGUGUUCAAGGGAUUCCUCACCAAACUACUGAAAGAGGGAGCCUGGUGUCUGUGGUUGUCUUAAUCAUAGUGGUCAUCAUCUGCAACAAGCUGUGGUCUACAGUCGCCUUGUUUGUCCAGUUCAAGCAAAUCUUUGCCAUUGGUUUCUCAUCAGUCUGGUCUACAAGGCUAUCACUAUGGCCAUCACCACCUUCUUCAUAGAGCCUCUGAAGCACUUUGGCCAGGGGAUCAGCCAGUUCCUACAAGCCCUCCUCAAGGACAUUAGUGUUUAAAGGCACAGUCAACUUAUCUCGGCAAGCAGAGGCGGAGAUCCAGAAGGUUCUGGAGGGAAUGGACAGCUGAAGAACGGGGACUCUGAACGAUGUCCUCAGCCAGAUCCUGGUGAAUCUCAAACCACAUGACUACAAGGCCUGGAGAUGUCAAUUUGAGGACACCUUUGGUGUGGAGAUCGACACAUCCAUGAAGGUUAGAAUGCGUAGUUUAUGUGGUUUGCCUAAGCAAUUUACUGUGGACAUUUGCAGAGUCACCUUGCGGUCACCAGUCACCUUGCAGAUCCCUGUGCUCCUCACCAUCGUGCUCUCCAUCCUGGUCUUUGUGUACAGCAGCGCCCAGGCUGCCAUCCUGCACGGCAUAUCCAGACACCCUGAGGAACGCCGACAGGCGGUACAGCAAGGACGAGAUCAUCUCGGAGAGGUGGGAGCGUUUCCCCGACGGUGUGCGGCCGGAGGGUUGCUCUAACGCAGAGCAUAUCGACCCUCUAAUGGUAGAGGACCGACAUCCAGGAAGAGGUACUGCAAGAACCAGUUGUAGCUGGAGCCACAACUGAAGGCAAUGACUCACAAGAAGCUUAAUCCUCUCCAGCUAAAGGCAAAUCAAAUAUAGGGGGACGUUGCAUCUGAAUCUAAGGGGGAAGCUGACAGCCAGGCUGUCCAAAAGCUGAGUCCCCCCCCCCCUAAAACUAGGUGCCUACCACUAUAUAUAUAUGGGCCAAAAUGGUGACUGAAAAUCAUGUUGUAUGAUGCAAGGAACCACUUUGCAAAAUAAAAAUCAUUAUCAUUAUUAGGCCUAUUAUUACCAUAUAGAGAAUAAGGCUUUGCCUGUCUUAAAAUACAACACUGUCCCUUUUAGGAUGGUUGGCCACCUUUUUUAGGCUAUAAAAUAUAGCAGAAUUAAACAAUCAACAGCCUGACCAACUCUAUGCAAAGGAGAUGUGUUGUGCUGCAUGAGGCAAAUGGUGGCCACACGAGAAACUGACUGGUUUUCUGAUCCAUGCACCUGCGUUUAUUUAACUUUUUUUAAGGUGACCAACAAAUGCAUAUCUGUAUUCCCAGUCAUGUGAAAUCAAUAGAUUAGGGCCUAAUGAAUUAAUUUCAAUUGACUGAUUUCCUUAUAUGAACUGUAGCUCAUUAAAGUCUUUUGAAAUUGUAGCAUGUACCAAACUUCCAAUACAAUAGUCCACAUGACUGGCUGCGUUUUGCUACCACCGGAAACUUCAGGAAGAUUGCCCAUUAUUUAGUUUUUCUAAGUAAAUAUAUUUGAAAGUGAUCAAAAAUAAUGUAUUAUUAGCUAGCUUGCUACAGAAACAUAGCAGCUCAUUUGAUUUAGCCUGCACACUAAGAUAAUAUUCGCUAGUUAGCUAACUUUACAUACAGUAUACCUAGCUACGUAAAUUAAAUGUCAUCAGCUUGCUAUAUUCACAGUAGCUAGUUAGCUAUCUUAAUGCAUUAAUCAUUGUAACUCCAAAUGCAUUUGUAGCUAGAUAGGUAGCAAGCUCAACAGCCAUGAGAAGGGAGAGUAAGCUACUCUGGAUAGGGCAGGUACCUUUGCGGGAGGACAUGAAACUAUUCUCCAUUUCCAAUCCCUGUCCCUAGCAAUAAAAACGGAAGACAGACCUGAAUAUUAUGUUGCUAAAUCUCUCUAACUGAAGUAUAAUGCAGCCUGUUACUUUGCUUUCUGUCCUCAGAUACAGAGAUCUGUCUAACCCUGUCUGCAGAAUGAGGUACCAAUGAAUGUCCCAAAGUCACACACAAUGUAUAAACCUAUUACAACUGGAGCAGGCCAACCCUGAUGGGUGUGCACACUUCUGUUCCAGGCCAGCAUUAACACACCUGAUUCAAUGUAUCAAACCUAAUUAGUUAAUAAUCAAGUGUGCUAUUUCUGGGCUGGAACGGAAGUCGUAUCACCCAGUGGAUCAUAGGAGUUACUUUUUUUGUUCAACUGAAAUGAUGUUUUAUUAAUAAUAGCCUACUUGUCUAGCCUCUACAUAUGAGUUAGCUUACUUGUACACUUUGAAAUGAUGAGUUUUGAUUCUUUGACAGUGUUUUAAACUUGUUGUAAUUAACUGAACUAUUAUUCAAGAUGAACUAGUGUUGAUAUUGGUUUAUCACAGAUCACAACCCUGCAAUAAAAAGGGGAAGGGAGUGUCUCUUCACUUGAAUGUUUCUGUGUUCUCAAAUGAACAUCACCUUUUUGUUAGGUCAUAAGCUUUCCAAUUCGUUUUAUUUGUUUGUCACCAUUUUGUUUUCAGGAUAUCAGCCAUAUGUACCCAUUUUGCAGCUGAUAAUGGAAUCCAACGCAAAUGCAGCCAUAGGCCUACAGCAGUGGUUCCCAAUUCCAGUUCUCAAAUACCCCCAACAGCACACAUUUUUGUUGUAGCCCCAUACAAACAUAGCUGACUCAACUCAUUGAGGGCCUGAUGAUUAGUUGACAUGUUGAAUCCGGUGUGUUUGUCUGGGGCCACAAUAAAAAUGUACUCUUGGGGGAACUCGGACCGGAGUUGGGAACCACUGGCCUACAGUAGGAUGGCAUUAGCCUUAUGGGCAUUUGCAAUGCACCCUUUGACAUUGUGCAUCUGAAGCAGCUGAAGCUUAACUCACACACUGUUUACAUAUUGUUCAGCUAUAUAUUCAGAAUAAAAAAAUUAU